UACGUAGGGGGCAAGCGUUAUCCGGAUUCACUGGGUGUAAAGGGAGCGUAGACGGCCAUGCAAGCCAGGGGUGAAAGCCCGGGGCCCAACCCCGGGACUGCCCUUGGAACUGCAUGGCUGGAGUGCGGGAGGGGCAGGCGGAAUUCCUGGUGUAGCGGUGAAAUGCGUAGAUAUCAGGAGGAACACCGGCGGCGAAGGCGGCCUGCUGGACCGUGACUGACGUUGAGGCUCGAGAGCGUGGGGAGCAAACAGG
RNAcentral lists this ribosomal RNA (253 nucleotides) under uncultured bacterium. Its description in RNAcentral is "partial 16S ribosomal RNA". It matches the Rfam family "Bacterial small subunit ribosomal RNA", at positions 524 to 776 of the family's 1533-position model. The record is from RNAcentral.